This 433-nucleotide ribosomal RNA is filed under the name uncultured bacterium. RNAcentral describes it as "partial 16S ribosomal RNA". It matches the Rfam family "Bacterial small subunit ribosomal RNA", at positions 29 to 507 of the family's 1533-position model. The record is from RNAcentral.
AACGAACGCUGGCGGCAUGCCUAACACAUGCAAGUCGAACGAGACCUUCGGGUCUAGUGGCGCACGGGUGCGUAACGCGUGGGAACCUGCCCUUAGGUUCGGAAUAACUCCCCGAAAGGGGUGCUAAUACCGGAUAAUGUCUUCGGACCAAAGAUUUAUCGCCUUUGGAUGGGCCCGCGUUGGAUUAGCUAGUUGGUAGGGUAAAAGCCUACCAAGGCGACGAUCCAUAGCUGGUCUGAGAGGAUGAUCAGCCACACUGGGACUGAGACACGGCCCAGACUCCUACGGGAGGCAGCAGUGGGGAAUAUUGGACAAUGGGCGAAAGCCUGAUCCAGCAAUGCCGCGUGAGUGAUGAAGGCCUUAGGGUUGUAAAGCUCUUUUACCCGGGAUGAUAAUGCCAGUACCGGGAGAAUAAGCUCCGGCUAACUCCGUG